RNAcentral lists this ribosomal RNA (273 nucleotides) under uncultured bacterium. RNAcentral describes it as "partial 16S ribosomal RNA". It matches the Rfam family "Bacterial small subunit ribosomal RNA", at positions 524 to 796 of the family's 1533-position model. The record is from RNAcentral.
UACGGAGGGUGCGAGCGUUAAUCGGAAUUACUGGGCGUAAAGGGUACGUAGGCGGCUUGAUAAGUCAGAUGUGAAAUCCCCGGGCUUAACCUGGGAACUGCAUUUGAAACUGUCUGGCUAGAGUGAGUGAGAGGUUAGUGGAAUUCAAGGCGUAGCGGUGAAAUGCGUAGAGGUCUUGAGGAACAUCAGUGGCGAAGGCGACUAACUGGCACUACACUGACGCUGAGGUACGAAAGCGUGGGGAGCGAACAGGAUUAGAUACCCGGGUAGUCC